GUGGGGAAUAUUGCACAAUGGGGGAAACCCUGAUGCAGCGACGCCGCGUGAAGGAAGAAGUAUCUCGGUAUGUAAACUUCUAUCAGCAGGGAAGAUAGUGACGGUACCUGACUAAGAAGCCCCGGCUAACUACGUGCCAGCAGCCGCGGUAAUACGUAGGGGGCAAGCGUUAUCCGGAUUUACUGGGUGUAAAGGGAGCGUAGACGGUGUGGCAAGUCUGAUGUGAAAGGCAUGGGCUCAACCUGUGGACUGCAUUGGAAACUGUCAUACUUGAGUGCCGGAGGGGUAAGCGGAAUUCCUAGUGUAGCGGUGAAAUGCGUAGAUAUUAGGAGGAACACCAGUGGCGAAGGCGGCUUACUGGACGGUAACUGACGUUGAGGCUCGAAAGCGUGGGGAGCAAACAGGAUUAGAAACCCUAGUAGUCCAUGU
RNAcentral lists this ribosomal RNA (429 nucleotides) under uncultured bacterium. RNAcentral describes it as "bacterial SSU rRNA". It matches the Rfam family "Bacterial small subunit ribosomal RNA", at positions 354 to 800 of the family's 1533-position model. The record is from RNAcentral.